This 218-nucleotide ribosomal RNA is filed under the name Vibrio campbellii. RNAcentral describes it as "partial 16S ribosomal RNA". It matches the Rfam family "Bacterial small subunit ribosomal RNA", at positions 1 to 215 of the family's 1533-position model. The record is from RNAcentral. Lineage: Bacteria; Pseudomonadati; Pseudomonadota; Gammaproteobacteria; Vibrionales; Vibrionaceae.
AAAUUGAAGAGUUUGAUCAUGGCUCAGAUUGAACGCUGGCGGCAGGCCUAACACAUGCAAGUCGAGCGGAAACGAGCUAUCUGAACCUUCGGGGAACGAUAACGGCGUCGAGCGGCGGACGGGUGAGUAAUGCCUAGGAAAUUGCCCUGAUGUGGGGGAUAACCAUUGGAAACGAUGGCUAAUACCGCAUAACGCCUACGGGCCAAAGAGGGGGACCU